RNAcentral lists this ribosomal RNA (253 nucleotides) under uncultured bacterium. RNAcentral's name for it is "partial 16S ribosomal RNA". It matches the Rfam family "Bacterial small subunit ribosomal RNA", at positions 524 to 776 of the family's 1533-position model. The record is from RNAcentral.
UACAGAGGGGGCAAGCGUUAUUCGGAAUUAUUGGGCGUAAAGGGCGCGUAGGCGGCUUGGCAAGUGGAUGGUGAAAUCCCUCGGCUUAACCGAGGAACUGCCCUCCAAACUGUCUGGCUUGAGACCGGGAGAGGUGAGUGGAAUUCCCAGUGUAGCGGUGAAAUGCGUAGAUAUUGGGAGGAACACCAGUGGCGAAGGCGGCUCACUGGACCGGUACUGACGCUGAUGCGCGAAAGCGUGGGGAGCAAACGGG